This is a long non-coding RNA of Gavialis gangeticus (Gharial), 395 nucleotides long. RefSeq lists it as uncharacterized. The transcript has 3 exons. Lineage: Eukaryota; Metazoa; Chordata; Crocodylia; Gavialidae. The record is from RefSeq and is a predicted model, not a curated record.
CCCACUGAUUCCAGAGAGAAGAGUGCUUCAGGCAAGAGUAAUGAGCUAGAGAGAAGGACGUGGCCCCUACGUGAAAUGUAACAAGUGAAGGACACCUAUGCUGCAGGGAAAUCUCUGAAUGGAAGAAACCUUGUAUAACGCUGCCAGCACAGAACAGAACUGGAAAGUACCCAAAGGAAACCAGUAACAGGGUGGAAGAUGAAAUCCAUGUCAGUCUCACCUGAAUUCCAAGAUCAUUUUAAAUUAGAAGCAACCAUCAAAGGUUUGUAACUCGAAUGUUUAAAAGCUCAAAUGUUUUUGCAUGCGUGCUAAAACAUCCCAUGUCACCUCAGUUUCAUAACUGCACUGAUACAUGUAUGCAGAACAGUCAGCUGUCCGCACACUGUCAUAUGUUC